CUCCCUGUAGGUCCACAUACAUGCCGUAAUACCCUCCCUGUAGGUACACAUACAUGCCGUAAAACCCUCCCUGUAGGUCCACAUACAUGCCGUAAUACCCU
Haliotis rubra (blacklip abalone) is the source of this 101-nucleotide long non-coding RNA. RefSeq lists it as uncharacterized. The transcript is spliced from 3 exons. The record is from RefSeq and is a predicted model, not a curated record. Lineage: Eukaryota; Metazoa; Mollusca; Gastropoda; Lepetellida; Haliotidae.